AUGCAACUGACAAUUUUCAUCUGUCUAGCAAGCUUGGGCAGGGUGGUUUUGGUUCAGUUUAUAAAGGAAAACUUCCAGAGGGACAAGAAAUUGCUGUGAAAAGGCUUUCACAGUCUUCUGGUCAGGGGCAAGAGGAGUUCAUGAAUGAGGUUGUGGUGAUUUCCAAACUUCAGCAUCGUAAUCUUGUUAGACUCCUCGGCUGCUGCAUAGAAAGAGGGGAGA
This 222-nucleotide unclassified non-coding RNA is filed under the name Hevea brasiliensis (rubber tree). Lineage: Eukaryota; Viridiplantae; Streptophyta; Magnoliopsida; Malpighiales; Euphorbiaceae. The record is from RNAcentral.